This is a long non-coding RNA of Phascolarctos cinereus (koala), 1196 nucleotides long. RefSeq lists it as uncharacterized. The record is from RefSeq and is a predicted model, not a curated record. Lineage: Eukaryota; Metazoa; Chordata; Mammalia; Diprotodontia; Phascolarctidae.
UUCUCUAUCCAUGUAUUUGUCUAGGAUGCUUCAGAAGGUUGGCCUUAACUGUUAGAAAAAAGAAGGCAGUUCAACUCAAUAAGCAUUUAUUAAAUGCCUAUUAUGAGGCAGCUUGCUGGGCUAGGAGCUGGAAAUACAAAGAAAACAAGGAAACAAUUUGUUCUUAAGUGAUUGCGCCAGUACAUCCAAUUAUAUAAAGUCCUCCAACAGAUCAUUGUGGUGUGGUGGUAACCUUGGUUUGGAAAGAUAUGACAGCAGAGCUCAAAUCCCAGUGGCUCCAGUAAGAACUGCACAAGCCUGGACCCAGGGAGGAAUUGUCCAGCCUCACUGAGUUCAGAGAGGCUCAUUACCAGAAGGCAGGCCACCAGGUGAUAGCUUUAUCUUUGUGAUGAGUGUUUCUGGCCACAGCAACUCAUGAAGAUACAUCUAUCAAGGGGUGAUCUGUGCCUGUGGAGGGAGGAUUUGUCCUGAUGAAAUCAGGGAUCUAUUAAAUACUGCCCUAGAAAUCACAAAAGGAUGAAUUUAAUGAAUCAGAAGCUAAUAAACUGCCGUACAAAUUUAUUGGUUUUAAAUGAAGGCUGUUUCCAGAAGGACAAGAGCCCUAUACAUCAAUUCAUCCAAUACGCCCAUCCAGAACUCCAUUGUCGGUGUAACACCUGGCCCAAAGCCCACUGGCAUGGGACUCUCUCCUCACUGAUGGAGAUAAACGUCCUUCCCUAUUUGAUGGACAAGUGGAACUACGGAAAUAUCAGGAGAGCUCCAGCCUUCUUCAGGCCUCUUUAGGGACUCAUUAAGCUUUGAGUCUUUUUCAAGACUUUAAGCAUUGAGUUACUUCAGGCACUUCUGGCUCCUAGCUUCAAGAGAGAAGAUGGAAGAGACCAACCCCACUUCAGGUUACUGAAGGAAAAGACUCUGGGAAGAUAUGAGUGUUUCUGGCGGUCUCCGUCAUGUCUCUACUCCCAGUUUACUACUUCAAGGAGACUUCAGGGAGUUUGCUCUUAGGUGAGAUCCAGGACACCCUCUUUGGCUGAGAUGAGUUAUCUUGAUCCCAAUGGGAGAGUCCCUUCAUUCUGUAUUGUCUAGUAUAUAUUCUCCUACAUAUACCUUCCCUGAUUUCUAUUUUGCCAAGAUUUGGAUAAAUGGGUUUCUUUGUUAUUCACUGUGUGUAUUCAUUGUGCAACUGGUAUUUGGUAAGA